CCUACGGGUGACAGCAGUGAGGAAUAUUGGUCAAUGGUCGGGAGACUGAACCAGCCAAGCCGCGUGAGGGAGGAAGGUACAGAGUAUCGUAAACCUCUUUUGUCAGGGAACAAAGACUGGGACGCGUCCCCGGAUGAGUGUACCUGACGAAAAAGCAUCGGCUAACUCCGUGCCAGCAGCCGCGGUAAUACGGAGGGUGCGAGCGUUACCCGGGAUUAUGUGGGUUAAAGGGUGCGCCGGCGGUCGGUUAAGUCAGCGGUCAAAGCCCGGGGGUCAACCCCCGCCCCGCGUUUGAAACUGGCAGUCUCGAGUUGGAGAGAGGUAGGCGGAAGGCGCGGUGUAGCGGUGAAAUGCAUAGAUAUCGCGCAGAAUACUGAUUGCGAAGGCAGCAUGCCGGCUCCACACUGACGCUGAGGCACGAAAGCGUGGGUAUCGAACAGGAUUAGAUACCCUAGUAGUC
RNAcentral lists this ribosomal RNA (460 nucleotides) under uncultured bacterium. RNAcentral's name for it is "partial 16S ribosomal RNA". It matches the Rfam family "Bacterial small subunit ribosomal RNA", at positions 338 to 795 of the family's 1533-position model. The record is from RNAcentral.